This 292-nucleotide ribosomal RNA is filed under the name uncultured bacterium. RNAcentral's name for it is "partial 16S ribosomal RNA". It matches the Rfam family "Bacterial small subunit ribosomal RNA", at positions 505 to 796 of the family's 1533-position model. The record is from RNAcentral.
GUGCCAGCAGCCGCGGUAACACGAACUGUGCAAACGUUAUUCGGAAUCACUGGGCUUAAAGAGUUCGUAGGCGGCAUGUCAAGUCGGGUGUGAAAUCCCUCGGCUCAACCGAGGAAUUGCGUCCGAAACUGGCGUGCUUGAGUGAGAUAGAGGUGAGCGGAACUGAUGGUGGAGCGGUGAAAUGCGUUGAUAUCAUCAGGAACACCGGUGGCGAAAGCGGCUCACUGGGUCUCAACUGACGCUGAGGAACGAAAGCUAGGGGAGCGAACGGGAUUAGAAACCCUGGUAGUCC